CUCUAUUUUAAGAGUUGUGCUAGCAAUGGAUGCUGGGAAUAGAGCAAGUAACUUGUUUGAAAUGUGAAGGAUGUACAGGAGUCAGCUAUACACAAGAGAAAAGAGGUAGAGCUUAUAAUUCAAGUGAUAUUUAAACUGAAACUAGUUGACUGAUAUGAUCCCAUAGUUAAGUGUGCUUUAUGGUUUGAGUCCUAGUUGAGUUUAAUGAUUUUGGUUUGAAUCCUAGUUGAGUUUAAUGAUUUUGCCCUUUUUUCCAGAGCUGGAUAAAAAGAGGAGAGCUAGAAAUAUCUUGACAUUGGGAGAGAUUCAUAAAUUCUGUGAAUGUAGAAUAAUAAAUUCUCUUUUAUCCACAACCCUAUUUUAAGCAUCACAACUCUAUUUCUUUCAUUGCUGGAUAAUUAUGGCACAGGCUAAUACAGCAAAGGCAAUACAUGGGCACUUCCUUUCUGUCCAUUGCAAGUCUGAGUGUUCCCCAUUCUUUAGAGCAGGCCAGUGACUGCAAAAUUAUGCAUAAGUAAACCCCUUUGAAAGUUCCUGAAGGACUUCAUUGUUUUAUUGAGAAAACAAAAGCAUUGGCUAUUUCUGGUAUUUUUGCUCAAUAAUGUCUAUACAUGCAAAUGUGAGAUAUUUCAUAUAAACAUGUACGUAUGUUAAGUAUGUAUAUGUUUAUGGGCAUGUGUGUAUAUAAUUUAAAACGUUAGUUUUGUUUUCAAUGUAUCAAUGAAACUUUAAGAUCUCUAAGUACAGGAAAGAGUUCAUUUUUGCAAGUCAUAUGAAGAGAAAUACUGAAAAUUUUCAUGUUUCAGAUUUCCCAUCUUCUAGGAGUACUACACGCAGUUAUUUCUAUAAAGUAAAUUAAAAGCUCCGCUUCCCUAAGAAAGCUCAGUUCAAACAGGCGACCAGGUCCUCUUCCGUAAGGGUUCUUGGAUGACGUCAAUCGUCAAAUACUGGGGAGAAACAUCAGGAACAAACGGGUAACAGAAAUGUGGCAGAAGCAAUUUUCUCCCUAUCAUUAGAUCCUGCCAUUGUUAUCACAGCAGGAGUAUUUUCAGAAGAUGAAUCUCGUUUGGGGUUUUCUAAGUGUCUGAGCUUGAGGAGUUUUUCCAUACAUCUAUGGAUGUGUUUCCCAGCAGUGGUGUCAGGUAUGCUUGUGCUUAAAUAUGCUAAUGGGAGCACCCCAGCUGGGAGGGGAUGCUGCAGGUGCAGAGGAGCGGAGGGGGACCCGCUGGAGCUGCUCCUGGAGCAAACGGAGGUGUGAGGUCGCAUCUCAGGUAGAGAGGAGGCUGCACCCGGAGCUUGGUGCUGGAGGAGGAAACACCGAGCAGGAGAGCACAGAUGCAGUGGGCGAGGCUUCUGGAAAACCUUGGCUACCUCAAUGUUCUCUGAAAUGAGAGGCAAUUGGCGUGAAUCCAGAACCGGGUCAGCGAAUCCCUAGGGUCCCACUUUGGCUUGACGUUCACGGAAUUCCCAGAGGAAUCUAAGGCACACAGUGGACCUUCUGAAUGCCGGGAAAAGCCAACUAUCAAUUGAUAAAGGUGUACCUAGUGCCAGGCGCUGCGAAAUGGUUGCUUUUAGUUCCUGCUCUCAAGAAACAUUUGAAGUGAGUAUGACUGGUACCCCAUUUUGCAGAUGAGGACAGAAGAGAUUAAGUAACUUGUCACAGUUGCACAGGUGGCACAUGAGACAGCCAGGGCUUGUCUCCAGACCUUGUAUUUUAUCCUUGCUACCAAGCUGCCCCAUGAGCCCUCAAAGAGUUGAUGUGAGCUCCCUGGCUCAGGGGGAGGCCAUGGAGCCCUGGAUGGGGCACACCAUGAGUGUGUGCCAG
RNAcentral lists this long non-coding RNA (1825 nucleotides) under Homo sapiens (human). RNAcentral describes it as "HSALNT0196684". The record is from RNAcentral. Lineage: Eukaryota; Metazoa; Chordata; Mammalia; Primates; Hominidae.